RNAcentral lists this ribosomal RNA (340 nucleotides) under uncultured maize rhizosphere bacterium c12-68. Its description in RNAcentral is "bacterial SSU rRNA". It matches the Rfam family "Bacterial small subunit ribosomal RNA", at positions 975 to 1320 of the family's 1533-position model. The record is from RNAcentral.
CUACCCUUGACAUGUGCCGAAGCCCGGUGAGAGCUGGGUGUGCCUGAAAGGGAACGGCAACACAGGUGCUGCAUGGCUGUCGUCAGCUCGUGUCGUGAGAUGUUGGGUUAAGUCCCGCAACGAGCGCAACCCUUGUCCCUAGUUGCUACGCAAGGGCACUCUAGGGAGACUGCCGGUGACAAACCGGAGGAAGGUGGGGAUGACGUCAAGUCCUCAUGGCCCUUAUGGGCUGGGCUACACACGUGCUACAAUGGUGGUGACAGAGGGCAGCUAGACCGCGAGGUCAUGCUAAUCCCAAAAAGCCAUCUCAGUUCGGAUUGCACUCUGCAACUCGGGUGCA